Nothobranchius furzeri (turquoise killifish) is the source of this 8967-nucleotide non-coding RNA. The record is from RefSeq and is a predicted model, not a curated record. Lineage: Eukaryota; Metazoa; Chordata; Actinopteri; Cyprinodontiformes; Nothobranchiidae.
GAGAGGGAGCAGUAUGACUCAGAGCACAGCAGAGAGAGGAGACACUGUGUUUCUGCAUGCAAGAGGAGCAGCAGAGAGAGAGAGAGCCAGAGGAACACUGAGGAGAAUAUGGAGAAAAUACAGAGUGGCCUUAACCAGAAUUGAGCUGUCAGUGGACAGACGAAGGACAAGAAGAGGAAGGUGGCUGCCACUCGGACGUUGAGGAAAUAGUCCGAGUGAAUCAGCUUGCUAUAGGGAGAGAAAGGAGGAAAGGGAGUGAGUUUGGAAAGUUGAGCGUUUGGUAUGACUGAAGCUGGCUGAGGGAAGGUUGAAUGAAGGUUUGCUGUGGGGCAGGCUGUGGAUGUGGAGCUGCAAAGGUCACAGAGGCCAGCUUAAUGAACAAUUUCUCAAGUUCCUCAAGUCCUGAGGGACUGCUUCUGCUACAAGGAAGAGAGCAUGACUGAAGACUGCACAAAUGGGAGAGGACGCUUCAGGAAGGUUGACCAAAGGACACCAUGAGAGGAAAGAAGAGCCGACAAAAAGGUUAAAAAGAAACCACCGCCUGAAAAACGUGGGAUCUGAGAAACAUUGAAACAAGUGAAGAUUUGGAAAGAGACACGAAUCAGCGAUGGGGAUGUGGAAACCUUAACUGUGACAGAAACAAGCCGAAAGGAUCCUUUUAAAUAUUGAUGCUGGCAGGCCGUUCUGGAAAGAACAGCUGAUUUUUUAUUCUAAAGGAUUUUUACAGCUGAACAGACAGCCUGCGUCAGACGACGACUGAAGGGAUGUCACCUCCAAUCACCACAAGACCUGAAAAGUAGCCAGGUUUGGUUUUCUAGAAGAUUUCUGGGAUGACUACAGAGAGAAGAUCUGGACAUUUCCGUGGGAUGUAAAGAUGUGAGGAGACACUUUCUUUCUUCAAGUCUAAAACAGAUUUAUUUGCCCUUCUGUUUAGUCACUGCCAGAUGAGGUAGAACCAACACCCUUGAGGCAGACAUUACAUCGGUUGUAACUCACUGGCCUAAUGGGGACUUUUUCAGAAGCCUUCAUUGGCAUCAGUAGAAAGGAUUGCUAAACUCGUCAGGAACUGCCGUGAAUCCCUGUUAUCUCAAAUCAUCUGCAAAGCACGGCACGAUGCCCCAGUCUCCAUCCAGCUGUGGGUUUAUGUGGGGCAGCGGGGGGGGUGCGAGUACUGUCGAAGAUGUCAUCUAUGUUUCCUCGUGCACUCAUUGACAGAGCUGGACCUGAACAGCAGUGUUAAAGGGGGGGAAAGGCGGGGGGAGGAGGACGAGAAGGUGAGAGAAACAGGUAGGACGAAGGAGAAGACAACACUGAAACCAUGCUUGGAUAAAGCGAAGAAACAAAGGAGUCCUUGGCUGUCACCCUGGUACAAUGUGUGGCGUCUUGCCCUCUCGCGGUGGGGUCUUGUGAUGGUAACCAUGAUCCCCGGCGGCCACUAUGUCUGCAGCUCUCACGCAAGAGAGGAUGACUCCACUAACGACCGCGAGGAGCGGAUUUUAGCUGUGCUGGGCAUCAUCGGGACCAUCCUUAAUCUGUUAGUGGUCAUAUUUGUCUACAUCUACACCUCCGUCACUUGAGGUUUUCUGCAAGACUUCAGCGAGAAAUGCCGGUGGAAAAGUUGCCUCACCAUGCCACCGUUUGUCUUUCAUGAACCUGAGAGGUUUGACCACAUCUGUUUGCCGCCUGUUCACCUGGAGAGCUUUACAAAUCUGCCUCAUUCCUUCUGCAGCCUGGAGGGUAAAGCUGGUGAGGACAUUUUGCACUGUUAAUACUAAAUAGUAUUGCUGCAAACUGAUUUUAAAUGACUGCCGGUAGCAUUGAUCAGCUAUUGAUAUCUUUCUACAGAAAAGCUUUCUGCAUCACCCAUUUUUCGUGAAAAGUGUCUUUUAUACGCGUUUCCAUUUAUUUCAUUUUUAUUAUUUGUGACCUUUAGAAUAAUAUCACUGCCAGAUUAAAUUUAUGAAGCAAUUGCAUGAAUGGUUGGAACAAACCAAGAGAUGAGGAGGAAGGAAAUCUCACAAUUAAAACUUUUAUUGUUGGUAAAAAAGCAUAAAUCAGUGUUUUGAGUUAUUGGGUGUCUAUAAAUCUACACCAACAUCACAGGUUUAAUAAGUUUAAUCAGUUAAACUCCCACUAAAGGUUUUGAAUGGAACUGAUGUGCCCAAAUCCGAGCACACCAGAGGAGAGAUUCCUGGCUCUGCUGGGUCUUAUCGGCAUCGUUCUGAAUUUACUGCUGCUGGUUUUUGUUUACAUAUACGCCUCUAUCUGAUGCAGCCCUACUCCCACAUCUCCUUUGUUUAACAGAUUAAUACUGCACAGCCACACGUGCACACACUGAAAUUUGAGCUUAAUUCCCAGACUAGGUUGAGAUUUUCUGUCAACGAUGCAGUUAAAGUGGUGAGAAGAUGCCAAUUGCUUGUCUGCGCCAGAAGGUGUUUACUUAAGUUUCUACUGCUUCAAGUGUUCCAAAUAACAAUAAAAGCUGCCAGUUUAACAAAUGCAGAGACAUGGAAGAUGUUCGCGAUUGAGUUUUUAAUCCCUGCAGAGACGCUGCACCUCAGCUGAGACCCUUCUUUAAAUCUCCGGUGCUGCAGAGUAACCGGGUGUUUUCUGGUGUUGUGUUUCUCUGGUUUGAUGUGGGAGCCAGACACGGAGCAGCGUGAGAAAGAGCAAAGCCUGAAGCUGACAGGUUGCUGCACGAGGAAAGAAAGAAGGCUUCUGCAGUGUGACUCAAAUAAAGAAAAUGACCAAUAUGCAACAUCCAUUCAAGGAGAGCUGGAGGUGUUUCCAAACGGCUGCAGCAUCAGCCUCAGAGGUGAAACAAAGAGUGUCCUGCAACGCUGCGUCUACAUGUCUGACAGAGCUGCCCGCCGUUGUGAGUCUAAGUUCCCAGACUCUGCCUCGGCUGGAGAUGCGGAGGCAGCUGACAGGCGAGCUGCAAGGACCAGGCUGAAUCUGUACUUUUUCUUGCCAUUCUCUUUUCCACCAACAAGCUAACACCAGAGAAGACAUAGUAACACAUGAGUCUCUCCUUUCAUUUCACACACGGUUGCAGAAAAACAGCUCCAGACUCCACCUAACCGUCUGCAGUUUAUAACAUGCUGGCUUUUGUGGGAAAAGUGUUUGCAUUUUGAUAAUUAUUGCAUUUAAAUGCUUGUUACGCUGGAAAUAGAUUUAAAUCGCUUUAGUUUUAGAACCAGUUUUAUCUUUCAGCGUUGUGUUUGGUUUGCGAUCGAACGCAGAAACCUGAAUCACUAACUUGGUCAUUUAUGUGGAAUCAAGCUAAUCAAAUAUAUUUCUGGUGAUUACAGUAUAUUUUUAUAAUUGUUAAAAGUACAGAUGCAACGUAUGGGAUUGUGGAGCAGCUGCUUUAAAGUUUAGAAAAAUAUAAUGGUUAAAUUGUUGGCUUAAAAGUCAGCAAAGAAGAUACAUUCAUCAUAAAUCUGUUAAAGGGAAUAUGUUUCUUGCUUUUGAAUUCCACUUCAGGCAAACAUGUCUACUACUUCCCCUCUUGUGGAUUUCAUUUCUUAACUGAAAGGCACACAGUCCGUUUGGCUAUUGCACUUGGUUUGUUUUUUAUAUGCCAUCUUGUUGAAGUCAUUGUCAUGGCUGUGAUGAUAAAUAUUAGGGAUGCACCGAUGCCACUUUUUUCCAGACCAAUACGAUACCGAUACUUGGAUCUGAGUACUCGCCGAUACCGAUUACGGAUACCGAUACUUCUACCACACAAAACAAUACAAUGAAUUAUAAUACAGGUUUUAUUUUCUUCUCUGCUUUCAACAGGAAAAGACAGUGAGGUAAAUAAAAAAAUGUAAUCUAUAACUAGAUAUGAUCACAAAUCUAAAAAGGUGAACCUAAAUGACAAGUUACAGUGAUGCUCCUUUCAAGCAACGGCAAUGGUAUCAGUUCCUGGUAUCAGUUAACUUUUACUGAUACCAGCAUUUAUAUUUAUUACCGACAAUAUUUAUGCUACCACUGCAUCCCUAAUAAAUAUAAAUGCAGAAAUAGAUGUUUUUUCUUUACAGUUAAAUCUUAAAAAAAGAAACCAUUUGGUAAAAAAAAUAAUAAAAUUCCAUCUUAAAGAGAUGGUGUGUAUUUACCCUGGCAAUAGGGGGCAGUACAUACAUAAACCACUGCAAACAAGGGUUAGGGUUAAGACCUUACCAACAGAUAGCCAUUAGAGUCAAAAAUCCCUGGGAGCAAAAUAUUUGAACGAGUACUUUGUCAGAUCGUUCAACCUCCAGCAAAAUAACCAGCGCAUCAGACUCUCUUUAUCACUGGCAACAAGUGAAGAGGUAAAUGUGUAAAACAACAUUUAUGAAUGGUGAAAGUUUUCUAACCGUUUGUUACAAAUCAGUAAAUGUGUUUUGUCCUCAUGGGCUCCCAUAGAAGGAAACAUUAUAUGGCAUCACCCAGAGACUUAGACCCAUGCUCAUGUAUUUUUUUACCCAAUUUUUGUGGUUAUAUUUUACAAAGUCACCAAUAUUUUUCAAAAACUGGGCAUCAUUGAAUUCAUUUUCAAUCACAUUUUGAUGGAUAUUUCCAGAGGUUAAAGGUAAAACCUACACAUUGUCACUUCAAAAAUACAGCCCAAACUUAAUCAUUGCUUUCUUUAAAAAGAAAAAAGCCCCCUACUAAGAUAAUAAUACUCAUACAAUAAUAAUUUCAUUUCCAAUCAAAAAAAAAAUCUAAAUAUUAACCCCCCUUUAGGAGUAAAAUACAAUGAAUGGGGCAACAUUCCUUCAUUAAGUCACAAUAAUGCACAGAUCAGAUGCUUUUGACCUAAUUAAGAUAGAAAGAAAUGUAAAAUAUAUUUUUAUAAUAAUCAAGAAUUUGAGCAAUCCUGCUUAUGAGUAUAAAGAUGAAAUGAAAGAUUUCAUAUUGAAGCUGAGUAGAACUGUGUUUUUAACAAAUGAGCAUUUCUGCACUGACUCGUGCUGGAUGAAAUAUUCUGGCUACUUUUAUUAAGCUGACAGGAUGUUGUGGUUGGUGUGUCUGAGCCGAGCCCAAACGCAAUUCCAGAUUUCACUGGGGACCCGUCUUAGUUUUAGUGUUCUGUGGACCAAUCAGAGAAGAGAACCCAGGGGGUGAAUCCCGACCAUCUGCAGUCCAAACAGACACCGAGUGCACGCACAUCAACAGAACAACACAGCUCAAACUCUCACCCUUCAUUGGCUCCGUUCAUGCACAGAGACAUUUCUCAUUUGACAGAAUAAAAUCAAAUCUGCGCUCCUCAGACCAGAAACUGAGUCAGAUUUAAAACGCUUCUGAGUGUUUAGGAAGAAGAAGCUGCAUUAUUUUAUUUUAUUUUAUUUUUGGAAAGACAACACUUAUUUUUUAGAGCAAGUAUGGCAAAAAUAAGUGCCUGGAGGAUAAAAGACAACCACAUGGAAGGAAAUUUGGCCAAUUUUAAUAUCCUUUUUUAAAUGUUUUUGCAUUAUUUUGUAGCACAAAUUCACUUAGAGGGGAAGGCUGUGCAAUAAAAAAAUGUAAUUUAUAUUUUUGCCAGCAAAUGAAACUGGACUGGUUUUGAACAAUGACAGAAGCAACGAUAAUUAUAAUAAUAUUAAUAAUUAAAAAAAAUAAGGUUUAUUACAGAAGAUUUGACUGUCUUGUUUUUUAGGUUUGCUUUUGUCCAUUUUUAAUCAAAGAUCCUUUUUUUUUGUUGAUUAUGAAAUUAUAUAAAAAAAUUGAUUCAACAACUUGGAGCAAGAAUUUUAAAUAUCUUUUUGAGAUCUGCUGUACUUUCAUAAAAUUGAUAAAUGUAUGUAUAACUAAAAGAAAUAUUAAUAAAAAUGUUAAAAAUGCUUCUGUUGAUUCUGUUAUAUGUCUUAUAGAACCUCUGAAAAUUCUCCUGAGAUGUGUGAUCUGUUCCCACCGGAUCAUUUCUCACACAGCUCAGAGCUCACAUGAUAGUUUGGUAAUUGAAUAAGGGAACACAAAGAUACAAUUGCAACCAAUUGUUCAACUGCUCAGAAACGUCAGGGAUGUAGUCUGAGUUGACAGAUGUCUUGUGUGGGAACCUCUGCAGCAGUGAUUUGUAAUCCUGACCUUCGAAGGAUGGACCCUGGAUUAUUGGAUUGGAUUUGGUGGCAGAAUCCUUGUUCUACAGUUGGAAGAUCAGGAGCUUAGUCUACCUGGGCUUACCCCUGCACCACUGGGAUGACACAGUAUCUAAAGUAUUUAUGUGUCAUAGUUUUAAAGUCAAACUCCCCAUUAGUCACCAUCACAGAUUGGUGAAAUUACAUCUCUGCAUUUGACCCAUCCCUGGGGAUGUGAUGAGUUGCAGCUGUGGCUGCGCUCAGGAACUAUUGGGUGGUUUAACCCCCCAAUCCAACCUCUUAAAGCUGAGCAUCAAGCAGGGAGGCAUUGGGUCCAUUUUUAAAGUCUUUGUAUGACCCGACCAGAUUUGAACCUCAAACUCCCAGUCCCAGGGCGGACACUCACUAGGCCACUGAGCAUUUUUAAGUGUAAUUAUGAGUGUUAAUAGUGAACAGAGUGGGGCUCUCGAUGGCCUUCGUCGCCUUUGUUACUGCUUCUUGGUGUCUGCCACACACUCCUCCUCAGGAUACAAAAAGUGUACUAAAAAUCUCUCAAGAUCAUUUUCUCAUCCAAAAUGGAAGGUAAAGCCAGACUUCAGUUCAACCCAGUAGAACUCCGUGUUCACAAGGAAUGUUGAAAUUAUCUAUAAGUGGACAAUCCAGUCACUCCUUCUGAUCUCCAGUGACUCCAGUUCUGCCUCUGUGCCCCAAAACUUCCAUUGAGAGGAUCAGAUUACAAUCUGGAUUAAAUCCAACCUGUUAACAAACCCCUUUGUACACAGAAAAACAGCUGUGACCUGCACCUUAGUGAAACGGUCUAAGGGACUGUUUCAAAACUAGGUGGGAUUAAACUCAGACAUCACCGAUGGAAGGAUAUUUAUGAUGAAUGGAAAGAGAACACCUUUAAUGGUGUAUGAAGUAAGAAUGACAUCCUGUGGUCAAAUGUGGUUAUUGUACAUGUAUCAAAACAAUCAAGUCCACUCUGAGCAGCUGUUGCCUGGCAAACCAGACUAAAUAAAUAUUUAUUUACAAUCUCUGCAUGCUACUGGACAAUGAACAACGAUAAUGAAAAAUGUGACGUACUCACUGCAAUGAAUGAGGCAGUCUGCUGUUGAAGAGGAAGAAAUUACAUUUUUUUCUAAAUAAUAAAGGACUUAAAUACAUAUAUCUGCUUCUGAUUCUAAUAAAGCCCAAGUCCAAAUAGUCCAAAAUUUGAUGGAAAAGUCGUUUUAAAUAAGCUGUCGCCAUCUUGUUCAAGUCCGUGGCAUCAUCCCACCCACCAGACAAAUGAAGGGCCUGAUUGGCCCACAAAGCGGAUAGAGUGCUGUGAUUGGCCCACAAAGCAGAUAGAGCACAAUGAUUGGCCCACCACUGUGGACCAAUCACAAUGCUCUACCAGUUUGAAACCCCUAUAGAUAGCCGUGAUUGGCCGGCUGGAAUGCUGCUGGGGAAGUGCUGGAGUGUUCCUAGACCAAACUUUGCAAAGCAAGAUUUUGGUCUAGUUCACUAGGCUAGCUGGUGCCAGCUAUGGCCAGAAAAUCCUAGAUGACAAGUGAAGACGAGUCAUAGACAGUGAGUUGAUAAACAGAUAAAGAGAUUUCAUGAUUAUAUCAAGUUGAAAAAAGUAGGCUGAGAUCAUUUUAGAGCAAGGUAUUCUUUUUCUAAUUCAUCAUUGGCCUUGUUAGCUCACCGUUAGCCUCUAGCCUUCUAUACCUGAUUUUAAAGUAAAACAAAACAGAUGCUGUGGCUUCUUAGGAGGUACAAAAAACAAAUUCUGGGUCACUCCUGUUACUUGCUUUCAUUAUGUCCACAAUGCUGUUGCUCUGUUUUGGCUGAUGUCGAAGACUUGAGUUGAAGACUUUACAACUUUGCAGGCUCAAAUGUGAUUGGCUCUAGAACUAGGAAGUAUGGAGGUGGUAGCCUGGCAAGCCAUUCUAUAUAUGUGAAUAAACCACGACCCAUAGACAGAACUCAGUCGUGGGUCGGAAUCUAUGGUUGUUUUUCAAACUGUCUCCACAUACAUUGGACAAUGAUCAACGUGACGUACUCACCGCUACAUAGGCCAAUGGGUCAGUUUGCUAUACCCCAUCGAAAAAUACGCAAAUACGUACCUCUGUCUGCUCUUGAUUCUGGGGAAAGCCCAAGUCUCAAUGGUCCAAAGCUGAUGCCAAAGCUGUUUCAAACGAACCAUCGCCAUCUUAGUUCUGCUCUGUCACAUCAUCCCACCCACUAAACUGAUAGAGCUCUGUGAUUGGCAUAACACCAUACUGAUAGUAGACCUGCUGACUCUCCUAUGCAGACCAAAAUCAUUUUGCUUUAGCUGUCUAGAUUUUUCUGCUAUGGAGGUGGCACUGACUGUAAAGAAUGACAAAGUCGCGCUUCUGCCUUUUUAAUAAGAGAAAACCUGACAACCUGCCAGCCAGCUGCUAAGGGAAUUUGUUUCUAUGUAACCUUCCCUCCAACAUGAUUGAGACAUUAGACUGUUUUGUGACUAUUUCAAUGUAAAAUUCUUACUUAUUGCACCUUUAAUAACUGCGUGUUUCUUCAGCAAACUGCAAACCAUUAAAAAACCCAAUCAGGCUAGCAAGAACCAAAAAUUGAAGGCUGUGCAAAGACUAUUCCUUCAGUCCACAAGUAUGAUUCUCCAAUUUUUCAUUCUUUGACAGCAAAUACACAGAGGAACACAAAGUUAUCGCUGGACUCUUGUAACGCACAAAAAGUGCCCAAUUUCAGGCUGUAGAGCAGACGUCUGACUACUAUGAACUCAGCUGCGAAAAGUGACUCACUUUCACUCAUUGUUGCCUUUAAUGUUCUGAUAUGUUUGACAAUUACAAAGCAAUUAAUAAAUGUUGUUGAUUAAAAAAAGAUACACUGGAUGCAUGUUUUCCAAAAAAUAGUUCAGUUCGGGCUUUUUUACUUACAGAAA